CUGGAACCCUGAAUGGAACCUUGGACUCUUGGAACCGUGCAUUAUUGGAUAUCAAAAGUGCAAUGCUGGCGCCUUGAUCUACAGGAACAGAAACAAGACUUGCCUGGCACAUUAACUCUCAAAAAAAAAAAACUAUCUCAACUGAUCAACACCCUGGAAUUCACCAGGAGCUGCUACCUACUAAGACAAUUUUCCACUGCUUCUUCUCUCCUACCCGAGCCACCUCUUCCCAUCUGCUGCCUGCUGUCAUUUUUUCCAGCUCCACCCAGGCCUUGCCUCACUCUCUAGCCUGUCCCAGAAUUGGAACAAUGGCUUUUUGAUCUACAAUCAAAACCUAUCAUUUGAUCAACGAUCUGCAGGCAAACAGCACUCUGGAGAGAGGUCUACAUGGUGGGUAGGUGCCUAGCUUCUUACUUCCUUUACUAGAAGAGAGCUAUCAUAAAGUUCUCCUACUCCAGC
This 459-nucleotide long non-coding RNA is filed under the name Junco hyemalis (dark-eyed junco). RNAcentral describes it as "lncRNA (ENSJHYG00000014965.1)". Lineage: Eukaryota; Metazoa; Chordata; Aves; Passeriformes; Passerellidae. The record is from RNAcentral.